AUUGAACGCUGGCGGAAUGCUUUACACAUGCAAGUCGAACGGCAGCACGGGAGCUUGCUCCUGGUGGCGAGUGGCGAACGGGUGAGUAAUACAUCGGAAGGUACCCAGUUAUGGGGGAUAACUAACCGAAAGGUUAGCUAAUACCGCAUACGCCCUGAGGGGGAAAGCGGGGGACCGUAAGGCCUCGCGUAAUUGGAGCG
RNAcentral lists this ribosomal RNA (200 nucleotides) under uncultured bacterium. RNAcentral describes it as "partial 16S ribosomal RNA". It matches the Rfam family "Bacterial small subunit ribosomal RNA", at positions 30 to 228 of the family's 1533-position model. The record is from RNAcentral.